This 465-nucleotide ribosomal RNA is filed under the name uncultured bacterium. RNAcentral describes it as "partial 16S ribosomal RNA". It matches the Rfam family "Bacterial small subunit ribosomal RNA", at positions 338 to 795 of the family's 1533-position model. The record is from RNAcentral.
CCUACGGGAUGCAGCAGUAGGGAAUCUUCCACAAUGGACGAAAGUCUGAUGGAGCAACGCCGCGUGAGUGAAGAAGGGUUUCGGCUCGUAAAGCUCUGUUGGUAGUGAAGAAAGAUAGAGGUAGUAACUGGCCAUUAUUUGACGGUAAUUACUUAGAAAGUCACGGCUAACUACGUGCCAGAAGCACGGGUAAGACGUAGGUUGCAAGCGUUGGCCGGAUUUAUGGGGCCUAAAGCGAGUGCAGGCGGUUCAAUAAGUCUGAUGGGAAAGCCUUCGGCUCAACCGGAGAAAUGCAUCAGAAACUGUGUAACUUGAGUGCAGAAGAGGAGAGUUGAACUCCAUGUGUAGCGGUGGAAUGCGUAGAUAUAUGGAAGAACACCAGUGGCGAAGGCUGCUCUCUGGUCUGCAACUGACGCUGAGGCUCGAAAGCAUGGGUAGCGAACAGGAUUAGAUACCCUGGUAGUC